This 90-nucleotide ribosomal RNA is filed under the name Bacillota bacterium. Lineage: Bacteria; Bacillati; Bacillota. The record is from RNAcentral.
ACCUGAAUCCAUUCCGAACUCAGAAGUGAAACAUGUCAGCGCCGAUGGUAGUGUGGGGCCUCCCCAUGUGAGAGUAGGACACCGCCAGGC